RNAcentral lists this long non-coding RNA (968 nucleotides) under Anas platyrhynchos platyrhynchos (common mallard). RNAcentral's name for it is "lncRNA (ENSAPLG00000030673.1)". Lineage: Eukaryota; Metazoa; Chordata; Aves; Anseriformes; Anatidae. The record is from RNAcentral.
AAGGAAAGUUAGACCAUGUUAAAUACAUAACUCUGUGGCAUCGAAUUUAGAUCUAAAUCCAAAUAUUCUCUUGAUUUAUAGUCAUUCAUAUUUAUUGUUUCAGCUGAAGCUACUAAAAAAAAUGGCAACACCCAAAAUAAUGCAGGCAAAGCUUAGUCUGUCAAGCCAGCAGGUCAUAUCUGGCAAAGCAAAACCCAAAGCAAAUACUGCAAGAAUAAACAAUGCCACUGGACAAAAGUCUUGUAUGCAGUCUCCUUGUGUCUCCUUGGCUAUGAUAUGAAGUCUCCUGAAGUCAAUGGAGUUGAAGAAACAGAACUGAAUUUCACAUUCUUGAUUCCAGUGACAUUAUCUUGGACUUAACGUCAGUGAAGUUGAAAGCACACAGUCAUUUAGCUGAAUAUUGCCAAGAGGAAAGAUCAUGGUGAGCUGCUAAUAUUUGUUUCUGGAAACAAUCCAGGAAUGAUGCAGAAGCCAGAUUUUUACAAAGCUUUGUAACCAUCCUUCAGACACACUAUGUGGGUCAAGGUACCAGGCAAUAAUAGAAGUCAAAUGGGUCCAAGACAAUUUUAAUCUUGUCUGAUCCAAUGACUUUCUCUAUACUAUUGGUCAUUUCACAUGAACUUCUUGAAUCUGUUUCAGGACAGCUAUGAAAGCAGGUAUAAGACUAACUUAAGAAACAUUUAGGAUCCAGAAGCCAGGUUAAACAACAUAUAUUCAAUUUUUCUGCCAGUCACUAAAACUGAGAUAUUUUCACAUAGAAAUUAAACUGUUGACAAUGCAGUCUGAGAAGGUGUUAAAUGCAUCCUACAGCAUGGUGAAGAUCAUCAGCCACCAGUGUACAGCACUGUACUGGCUCCAGCUGUAAAGUUACCCUUCUUUCUGUUCUGACAGGCACAUCAGAACUCUGCAAUACACUAUUUUUGAUAAGGAAAAGGCUUGUGGGCUGAGAAAUUGUUGUAGAAAGGAAG